This 491-nucleotide long non-coding RNA is filed under the name Sus scrofa (pig). Its description in RNAcentral is "lncRNA (ENSSSCG00050059971.1)". Lineage: Eukaryota; Metazoa; Chordata; Mammalia; Artiodactyla; Suidae. The record is from RNAcentral.
CUCAGACUCCAGCAUUGCGAUGUGGGCUUCCCACUCGCACAGCACAUGGUCACUGAAACCAUCCCAAGGGAAUUUAAAGCAGCAGGACCCCGGCGUUACUGUUUGGUUGUUGCCUGGAGCCAGUGGAACAUCCGACCCACGCAUGGAGGCUGCUCAGCGCUUCUGCAUGAAUUAAAUGAGGUAGUACAAUGGGGCAUGUGGACUAGGAAGCCGUCACUGAGUUGGACGUUGGCCUUGCAAUGCAAACAACACCCCAUCCCACUCAGUACACGCCUGGGAAGGCGCUCAGCUCAUUGAAAGAGCCCAUCAGUUUUGCUUCUUCUCUGUGACCCAUUCUGGGGAGCUGUGACCAACAGCAUAGCGGUAACUUCAGGCCCGCAAGAAGAGGGUGAAAAGUAGAUACAGUUAGCUCAUCAACUUGGAAAUGCCUUCAACAUGAAACGAAGAGUCAUCCUCAAAUUUUGCAGGAAAGAAGAGCCCCCUUUUGUUUG